RNAcentral lists this ribosomal RNA (425 nucleotides) under uncultured Acinetobacter sp. RNAcentral's name for it is "bacterial SSU rRNA". It matches the Rfam family "Bacterial small subunit ribosomal RNA", at positions 358 to 774 of the family's 1533-position model. The record is from RNAcentral. Lineage: Bacteria; Pseudomonadati; Pseudomonadota; Gammaproteobacteria; Moraxellales; Moraxellaceae.
GGAAUAUUGGACAAUGGGCGCAAGCCUGAUCCAGCCAUGCCGCGUGUGUGAAGAAGGCCUUUUGGUUGUAAAGCACUUUAAGCGAGGAGGAGGCUCCUUUAGUUAAUACCUAAAGAGAGUGGACGUUACUCGCAGAAUAAGCACCGGCUAACUCUGUGCCAGCAGCCGCGGUAAUACAGAGGGUGCGAGCGUUAAUCGGAUUUACUGGGCGUAAAGCGUGCGUAGGCGGCUUUUUAAGUCGGAUGUGAAAUCCCUGAGCUUAACUUAGGAAUUGCAUUCGAUACUGGAAAGCUAGAGUAUGGGAGAGGAUGGUAGAAUUCCAGGUGUAGCGGUGAAAUGCGUAGAGAUCUGGAGGAAUACCGAUGGCGAAGGCAGCCAUCUGGCCUAAUACUGACGCUGAGGUACGAAAGCAUGGGGAGCAAACA